UAAGUCGGUUCUUAAAUCACGUCGUGGAGCAGAGUGCCUCCUUCCAUUAUUCCCACCGUCGUAACGACCGUAUAAUUCGGUUGCGAUCGAAAUGAUUGGUUGCCGUGCCCACCUUUCCCUCCGACUUGAUCGCGACCUACCUAUUGGUUGGGGUCGACGCCGACUCCUAUCUUUCCCUCCUCUUCUCCUCCCAUCGUCCUCCUCCUUCUCCCUCCUCUUCGCCCAGCGUGAUUGAUCUUCCUUCUUCCGGGCCUCCCGGUGGUGACCACCGCCGGCCCCAUCAAGGCGCCUGCGAUCGCGUACAGAUCCAUGAUCCCCCGCGUCUCCGCCGCCCCGCCAAGUACGAGGACGUCCUCAAGGCCAAGGAUUCGACACCCUGCUCGACAUCCAGACCCAUCCCGAUCUGCUUCCGCAGGCACUCCACCAUACCCUAACUUGUCUUCUUGAUUCUUGAUUCUUCUGUUUCCGUCUGUUCCUCGGGACUGGCGCGUCGAUGAGGGUGAGAAUGUGCCCAUGAGGGGCUCUUCUUGGUCCAAUCGAUGUGCCUAUUUGGGUGACGCACGGAUGCAGACCGUCGAGAUCUGCUUGUCAUCUUGAUUCGUUAUUAUUCUGUUGCCGUCUCAUGUUUCUUGUUUCUCAUCUUGAUUCGUUAUUAUUCUGUUGCACGGAUGGAGGAACGUGUCGAUGGGGGUGGCAAUGUGCCCCUGUGGACGGUGGCUGAAGCUCUCCCCAAGACUUCUUGGGUAAAAUCAUGAUGGGAAUGCGACCCUGCGGGCAACUGAUGUCGCUACGUGCAUACAGGAUCUUGGACCUAUGGAUGUCGAUAAAGAUCGAUCGAGAUCUCAAUUGACGAAGGUGAUGUGCCGACUCUCUGUGUUCCUGAAUUCCAUAUCUUGACUAUGGUGGUUGACGUGGUGUUUCUUGUCUCGAGGGUUAUCAUGAUGGCGACGGGGAGAAGCUCUCCUAUUAUGGUGGCAUGACGAACUUUGCCUCAUAUUGAUGAUGGUAAUCAUCCUUCUAUUGGUAUAUAAUCCUACUAAAUUCUUGCUGAAAACUUUUGAGCUCAUAAAUUCUGAUGUGCUAGUCUGUAAUUUUUGCUGCAAUGUAUCUUAUAUUUCCCUUUUUAUGAUCAUCUGUUUACUCUUCUCUUGUUAGAACCUAGUGAUGUUUGAUAUGCAUACCUGCUAAAAGUAAGUCUAGUCUGAGCAGAUAAGCUAGUAUAGAAGUAAGUUUAGGUUUGAAUGUGUAAGCUAUUACAGAAGAACACAGGUGUUCAUCAUUGGUUCAUAACAGUUCGUGAUCUUCUUGUGGAGUCACUAUUGGUCUUUGAGGAGCUAAACUGUUUUAGAGGAUGUAAAUAAUUAACUUCAAAUUGUAAAAGGAGAAUGGUUUGAAGAUAUUUAAUUGUCAUUGUUUUUUAUCAACAUUUUGUGCUAAUAAUUCUUUAUCAAUGUUUUUUUAUCUAAGGAUGGCUUAGGUGUUAUUUUAAGCAUUUCCAAGUGCUUCACCUAAUUAUUAUUUGGACUCUGAACCUCUUUUUUUGAAUCAUCAAUAUUUCAGUGUGCUUUUUUGUUAAUAUUGCUUGGAUAUUUGUUUGAUCUUUUAUUGUCUUUCCAUUAGUUUAUACUUAUUUUAAUGUUGGGUUAGUGGUGCUCACACUGUGUCAACUUCCAAUUCUACUUUAUUUCUUUUCCUAGUUUCUCUUACAACAACAAUCUGUCCAACAGUUGAUAUAUAUGGCAGAACAACAGUACUUGCUAUGUUUCUGAACUUCAUAUAAGAUGUGUACCAUAAAUACUUUUCUUAUUGUUGUAUUGCUGAUCAUUGUUUGUCAGCAUACAUUUCACUAGAUUGCUAUAAAAUUCUUAAAACAACUUGAUAUCCUAAUUUUGCAAUCCAUUAGCCAUUAUUCUCUAUCCUUCUAACAACUUUAGUUAUUUACAUUUUUUGAUCUGUGUGAUUGCACACCCUAUGAACUUAUAUGAUCAACUAUAGUCCUUUGCUUAGUGAAUUUAUUGUAAACCCAUAAAAGACUACUUGAUUAAAUUCUGUCUGUAUAUAUUCCUGAUGUCAUGAAACUAAUACCAUAGUGGACCCUUCAGAUAUCUAAUUUGAGCUUCAUCUUUUUUCCUUGUUUGAGCCCUACCUACCCUAUCAUAGACACAGGACACAACCUUUGAUUUUCCCUGCAUGCUUCUUAGCUUGUAUGUUUCAUUUAGUGUGUUUACAAGUUGUUUUAGUAGGUUGAAUUUUUGUUUACAAAAUUUUGUACCUCUACAUGACUUUAGCUUAUAGAAUUUCCCAAAGUUCUUUGACAACUUUCUCGUAAUGAAUUUACCUGUAGAUGUCUCGUUCUUUGACCUCUAGGUUUCUCUAUGCUUCAUUGCUGUAUUCUAUUAUGACUUAAAUGACCAAUGCUGCUGCUUAUGUCAUUUUUUUACAAGUAUUUUCUUAUAUUAUGCAGUUCAUUUUAGUAAGGAUAUUAUUGUUACACAUAUUGCUCUUGUACAUAGUGCGUAAUAAAUAUAGGGAAAUUGUGCUUCAGGUACUAUUACCUAGAAGUAGAGCUGAUUAACGAGGAGAAGGUAAAAGGUGCCAUCUAAGCUUAUCUGAAUAUAACAUGAGUUAGAAAAUGACGACCAUAUUUUGACGAUAAAACAUUAAUGAAUUUACUAACUGAUUAUGAAGGCAUUUUUCAUCUUAGUUGCUACAAGGAUUAUAGAUAUGUUACAUCACCUAGUCAUUUUCAUGUUAGAACUAGACAAAACCAGAAUAUUCGUCUUGAAAUGAUCUUUAAUUUGGUGAAUCUUAUUGUCAAAACAAGUAAGUUUGUUCAGCAAUGGAACUCACAAUACACGCACACACACACACACAAAAAGGGAUUGUAAUGCCUGCUGUAUGCAGUGCUAUUCUUUGGGUAUUUGUGUGCUUAUGGGAAGAGAAAACCAGUUGGUAAAUAGAAAAUGCGUUUACAAAACUGUGUGCAUUUAGUUUGAAUUUACUCUACUACAAGGCUGAGGUUCUUUUCUGGGACUUGGGUUUAGUAUUGAUUUGAGGUUCUUUUCCCAGUUAAUUUGAAUUAAUUUGAGUGCUUCACAAUUUUUAUCCAGUGACCGUGCCUCCUUGAAGAAAUAAGAGUUGAUUUGCGUUCCUUUUGAUAAACUUUAGUAUAGAAUCAAAAAAUGUAAAAGAUAAAAUGUGCUAAAAUGGGCAUUACAACUAGACUACGUACAAGGCUAUCAUACGAUAGGCUCGAAAUUUUAGCAUUUUUUUCUUUGAAGAAAGAAAUGAAAGGUAAAUUAAAAUUUUUUUUGAAGCGAGUGAACAGGUUACAGGUUUCUGUGGCACCUCUUGGAAGAAGACUUCGUCGCUGGUUUUUUAAGAUCAACUUGCCAUAUCACCGUGCUUUUUACUUGAUGAGAACGCAGACACAGACUGCUCGCCAUUAAACGAUAUUUGUAACAGCGCGAUAAUUUCACCCGACCAUCGCGAGCUUUUGACACCCAAGGAAUUAUGUGUUGUAGCAAAAGCUGUUUAGUUGUU
Musa acuminata AAA Group (dessert banana) is the source of this 3543-nucleotide long non-coding RNA. RefSeq lists it as uncharacterized. The record is from RefSeq and is a predicted model, not a curated record. The transcript is spliced from 2 exons. NCBI's taxonomy places the organism in Eukaryota, Viridiplantae, Streptophyta, Magnoliopsida, Zingiberales, Musaceae.